AUGCCUACGGGAGGCAGCAGUGAGGAAUAUUGGUCAAUGGCCGAGAGGCUGAACCAGCCAAGUCGCGUGAGGGAUGACGGCCCUACGGGUUGUAAACCUCUUUUGUCGGGGAGCAAAGAGAGUCACGUGUGACUCAUUGAGAGUACCCGAAGAAAAAGCAUCGGCUAACUCCGUGCCAGCAGCCGCGGUAAUACGGAGGAUGCGAGCGUUAUCCGGAUUUAUUGGGUUUAAAGGGUGCGUAGGCGGGACGGUAAGUCAGCGGUAAAAAUGCGGAGCUCAAUUCCGUCGAUCCGUUGAAACGUCCG
This 305-nucleotide ribosomal RNA is filed under the name uncultured bacterium. RNAcentral describes it as "bacterial SSU rRNA". It matches the Rfam family "Bacterial small subunit ribosomal RNA", at positions 335 to 638 of the family's 1533-position model. The record is from RNAcentral.